CGCCUUUGACUUGGUCCAUUCCCUUGUUGUUGCCCCAAUUUCGUGCCUUGGCUUGGACCAGGCAUCAAUGCCAUUGUAUCAAGGUGCAUUGUGCUCCAAUUUGCCUUACUCUUGCCCACAAACUUGGCCUGUUUGCCGCAACUCGAACUCAUUCCAAAUCUGCCCGCACGUUGCCUUUCUGUUGCACAUUCGCUUGCCUACCAUGUCAAUCUGAUUUUAGCAUCAAGUCACCAAGCAUUGAUGCCAUUCCCGUUGCUAAGUCGUUUACCCACAAUUAACUUAGGUGCCAGUCCGCUCACCUAUGUCAUGGCAACAUCACGUCGCCAAUGCCACUGCCUUGGCACUAAGCUGCCCCAAUUUAGCGGCGAGGCCUUUCCCAUUUUGCCUUGUCAAGCAUCUGUCCAGCCCG
This 409-nucleotide long non-coding RNA is filed under the name Nicotiana benthamiana. RNAcentral's name for it is "long non-coding RNA (NBEN_LNC020482)". The record is from RNAcentral. Lineage: Eukaryota; Viridiplantae; Streptophyta; Magnoliopsida; Solanales; Solanaceae.